GCUUAACACAUGCAAGUCGAGGGGCAGCAUGGUCUUAGCUUGCUAAGGCCGAUGGCGACCGGCGCACGGGUGAGUAACACGUAUCCAACCUGCCGUCUACUCUUGGACAGCCUUCUGAAAGGAAGAUUAAUACAAGAUGGCAUCAUGAGUCCGCAUGUUCACAUGAUUAAAGGUAUUCCGGUAGACGAUGGGGAUGCGUUCCAUUAGAUAGUAGGCGGGGUAACGGCCCACCUAGUCUUCGAUGGAUAGGGGUUCUGAGAGGAAGGUCCCCCACAUUGGAACUGAGACACGGUCCAAACUCCUACGGGAGGCAGCAGUGAGGAAUAUUGGUCAAUGGGCGAGAGCCUGAACCAGCCAAGUAGCGUGAAGGAUGACUGCCCUAUGGGUUGUAAACUUCUUUUAUAAAGGAAUAAAGUCGGGUAUGGAUACCCGUUUGCAUGUACUUUAUGAAUAAGGAUCGGCUAACUCCGUGCCAGCAGCCGCGGUAAUACGGAGGAUCCGAGCGUUAUCCGGAUUUAUUGGGUUUAAAGGGAGCGUAGAUGGAUGUUUAAGUCAGUUGUGAAAGUUUGCGGCUCAACCGUAAAAUUGCAGUUGAUACUGGAUAUCUUGAGUGCAGUUGAGGCAGGCGGAAUUCGUGGUGUAGCGGUGAAAUGCUUAGAUAUCACGAAGAACUCCGAUUGCGAAGGCAGCCUGCUAAGCUGCAACUGACAUUGAGGCUCGAAAGUGUGGGUAUCAAACAGGAUUAGAUACCCUGGUAGUCCACACGGUAAACGAUGAAUACUCGCUGUUUGCGAUAUACAGCAAGCAGCCAAGCGAAAGCGUUAAGUAUUCCACCUGGGGAGUACGCCGGCAACGGUGAAACUCAAAGGAAUUGACGGGGGCCCGCACAAGCGGAGGAACAUGUGGUUUAAUUCGAUGAUACGCGAGGAACCUUACCCGGGCUUAAAUUGCAGAUGAAUUACGGUGAAAGCCGUAAGCCGCAAGGCAUCUGUGAAGGUGCUGCAUGGUUGUCGUCAGCUCGUGCCGUGAGGUGUCGGCUUAAGUGCCAUAACGAGCGCAACCCUUGUUGUCAGUUACUAACAGGUUCCGCUGAGGACCCUGACAAGACUGCCAUCGUAAGAUGUGAGGAAGGUGGGGAUGACGUCAAAUCAGCACGGCCCUUACGUCCGGGGCUACACACGUGUUACAAUGGGGGGUACAGAGGGCCGCUACCACGCGAGUGGAUGCCAAUCCCCAAAACCUCUCUCAGUUCGGACUGGAGUCUGCAACCCGACUCCACGAAGCUGGAUUCGUUAGUAAUCGCGCAUCAGCCACGGCGCGGUGAAUACGUUCCCGGGCCUUGUACACACCGCCCGUCAAGCCAUGGGAGCCGGGGGUACUUGAAGUGCGUAACAAAGAGGAGCGCCCUAGGGUAAAACUGGUGACUGGGGC
RNAcentral lists this ribosomal RNA (1431 nucleotides) under uncultured organism. Its description in RNAcentral is "16S ribosomal RNA". It matches the Rfam family "Bacterial small subunit ribosomal RNA". The record is from RNAcentral.